Molecule: transfer RNA, 71 nt
Filed under: Paramuricea clavata
Lineage: Eukaryota; Metazoa; Cnidaria; Anthozoa; Malacalcyonacea; Plexauridae
Rfam family: tRNA
About the family: Transfer RNA (tRNA) molecules are approximately 80 nucleotides in length. Their secondary structure includes four short double-helical elements and three loops (D, anti-codon, and T loops).
Source: Rfam by way of RNAcentral
UCCUCUGUAGCUCAGUUGGUUAGAGCGCUGCACCGGAAUCGCAGCCGCAGGUUCGAUUCCUGCCAGGGGCG